GAAUUCAGUAUGCAGAUACGUUACAGCAUCUGCAAUCUCCUUAGCGAUCUUCAAUCUUACACUCCAAGCCAAUGGCUUGAUUACCUCCCCCGCACCUCCUAUAUAGGCAAGAGCUCCCUUUUCUGGGUAUUCACACACGAGAACCGGACGAGGAAACUCUAGACAACACCCCAAGAGCUUGAGAACAUUCUUAUGGCUGCUCAUCAUCGAUGAAACCGCAAUAUCACGGUAAAAGUUGUCAGGGUCAAAGUUAAAGGGUUCACCUUUAUAGUACUUGAUCAGCACGGCUCUGUUUUCAAUCGUACCUUUGUACCACACGAAUCUGUCUACACCGAUUGCAUAGCUCCAGUCGAAGUUGUUUGUAGCUUCAAGGAUUUGGUGAGAAGAAAACGUACGGAUGGGAUUGUAUUUACCUCCUGACGAUGCAAUGAGUAAAGUCCCACAUCGACAAGUUAGAGAGCCGUGGUCAUAAGCAUUGUAGUAUAAAUAAGAAGCUCCGCCCAUCGUCCAAAUCAUACCUUUCUCGGCCUUUUGGCUAAGAUCAAGUGUAGUAUCUGUUCUUAUCAGUUUAAUAUCUGAUAUGUGGGCCAUCGGCCCACACGAUAUUAACUCUAUUUUUUAAGGGAGAAAGCCCACUAAGAUAGCUUGCUAUCUGGGCUUUCACGAGUCGCCCAUGCGUUGCACUACUGCACGGGCCUGGCUCAACCCGCCAAGCAAAUAAGUCAAAACUUUUUAAACCUUACUCUUUAUCUUUCAAGUCCAAAAGCUCAGAGGAUAAAAGUGAAUGGAGAAAAACUCUGUUAAAUAACGUUUUCUGUAAUUAUCUAUCUUCCUGUAGAAAAUCAGAGAUAUUUAUAUAUGUUACGCAGGU
Molecule: small nuclear RNA, 871 nt
Organism: Arabidopsis thaliana (thale cress)
Lineage: Eukaryota; Viridiplantae; Streptophyta; Magnoliopsida; Brassicales; Brassicaceae
Gene: U2.3
Product: U2.3; snRNA
Exons: 1
Source: RefSeq